CAUGGCCAUCUUCACAUCAUUCACAUUAUUCAAAACUUCAUCUAACAAAUUAAUCCAUAUAGCAUCUAUAGCCUUCUCAUCCAUCUCUUCAAAAUCCUCAUCAGCCAAUUUUUUUAGCUUCUUCUUUUUAGCCAAUAGUACCUUGGGUACACCCUGUUGUAUUAGUAAAUCUUUUAUUCUCCUGUACUAGAGUGAAGCCAUCUCUACCAUUAAAUUUCUCAAUGUCAAAUCUUAUGCCCGCCAUAUUUCCUAUAACAAGAGAACCGAUCUCUCUUUUGAU
Molecule: long non-coding RNA, 280 nt
Filed under: Phoenix dactylifera (date palm)
Lineage: Eukaryota; Viridiplantae; Streptophyta; Magnoliopsida; Arecales; Arecaceae
Description: long non-coding RNA (PDAC_LNC009818)
Source: RNAcentral